UGUCUCUAUCCCACUUUAGCUCAUUCUGUCUGUCUCUAUCCCACUGUCACUGGUUCUAUCUGUCCGUCUCUAUCCCACUGUCACUGGUCCUAUCUGUCUGUCUCUAUCCCACUGUCACUGGUUCUAUCUGUCUGUCUCUAUCCCACUGUCACUUGUUCUGUCUGUCCGUCUCUAUCCCACUGUCACUGGUUCUAUCUGUCUGUCUCUAUCCCACUGUCACUGGUUCUAUCCGUCUGUCUCUAUCCCACUGUCCCUGGUCCUAUCUGUCUGUCUCUAUCCCACUGUCACUUGUUCUGUCUGUCCGUCUCUAUCCCACUUUAGCUGGUUCUAUCCAUCUGUUACUGGUUAUUUCUGUCUGUCUCUAUCCCACUGUCGCUGGUUCUGGGUGUCCGUAUCUAUCCCACAGUCGCUGGUUCUAUCUGUCUGUCUCUAUCCCACUUUAGCUCGUUCUGUCUGUCUGUCUGUCUCUAUUCUACUGUCGCUUGAUCUAUCUGUCUGUCUCAAUCCCACUGUCGCUGGUUAUUUCUGUCUGUCUCUAUCCCACUGUAGCUCCUUCUAUCUGUCUGUCUCUAUCCCACUUUAGCUUGUUCUGUCUGUCUGUCU
This 603-nucleotide long non-coding RNA is filed under the name Salmo salar (Atlantic salmon). RNAcentral describes it as "lncRNA (ENSSSAG00000113027.1)". Lineage: Eukaryota; Metazoa; Chordata; Actinopteri; Salmoniformes; Salmonidae. The record is from RNAcentral.